AGGGGUGAAACCCCUGCCCCGAGGGGAUCCAUUUACCAAGGUGGACCCCCCCCGGGUUUUUACCCCACCCCGGGGAUUGGUUUCCAAUAACCCCCCUUUUUGGUUGGUCCCCGGACCUCCUGGUUUGCCCCUCCCCGGGGGCGGACCCCCCUGGCCCUUCCGGGCCGGGGGCUCCCCGGGGUGGGACCACUUUCCAAACCUCCUUGGCGGUAACCUUUUGCAGUCCUGGAGUAAACCUUAAUUUAAUAAAUUAAAACUUUUAACCAACCGGGAUCUCUUUGGUUCCUGGCAUCGGAUGAAGAACCGCAGCGAAAUGCGAUAAGUAAUGUGAAUUGCAGAAUUCCAGUGAAUCCAUCGAAUCCUUUGAACGCACAUUGCGCCCCCCUGGUAUUCCCGGGGGGCAUGCCUGUUCGAGCGUCCAUUUCACCACUCCAAGCCUCGCUUGGUAUUGGGCAACGCGGUCCGCCGCGUGCCUCAAAUCGACCGGCUGGGUCUUCUGUCCCCUAAGCGUUGUGGAAACUAUUCGCUAAAGGGUGCUCGGGAGG
Molecule: ribosomal RNA, 545 nt
Filed under: fungal sp. ASR-210
Lineage: Eukaryota; Fungi
Description: eukaryotic LSU rRNA
Rfam family: 5.8S ribosomal RNA (bases 255-420)
Source: RNAcentral